Molecule: ribosomal RNA, 563 nt
Filed under: uncultured Mollicutes bacterium
Lineage: Bacteria; Bacillati; Mycoplasmatota; Mollicutes
Description: bacterial SSU rRNA
Rfam family: Bacterial small subunit ribosomal RNA
Source: RNAcentral
GUGCCAGCCGCCGCGGUAAUGCAUAGGGGGCAAGCGUUAUCCGGAAUUAUUGGGCGUAAAGGGUGCGUAGGUGGCCAUUUAAGUCUUUAGUGUAAGUGCAGUGCUCAACGCUGUGAUGCUAAAGAGACUGGGUGGCUUGAGUGUGGUAGAGGCAAGUGGAAUUCCAUGUGUAGCGGUAAAAUGCGUAAAUAUAUGGAGGAACACCAGUGGCGAAGGCGGCUUGCUGGGCCAUAACUGACACUGAGGCACGAAAGCGUGGGGAGCAAACAGGAUUAGAUACCCUGGUAGUCCACGCCGUAAACGAUGAGUACUAAGUGUUGGAGAAAUUCAGUGCUGUAGUUAACGCAAUAAGUACUCCGCCUGAGUAGUACGUACGCAAGUAUGAAACUCAAAGGAAUUGACGGGACCCCGCACAAGCGGUGGAUCAUGUUGUUUAAUUCGAUGAUACGCGAAGAACCUUACCAGGUCUUGACAUCCCUUGCAAAGCUCUAGAGAUAGAGUGGAGGUUAUCAAGGAGACAGGUGGUGCAUGGUUGUCGUCAGCUCGUGUCGUGAGAUGUUGGG